RNAcentral lists this ribosomal RNA (610 nucleotides) under Limnobacter sp. Its description in RNAcentral is "bacterial SSU rRNA". It matches the Rfam family "Bacterial small subunit ribosomal RNA", at positions 33 to 641 of the family's 1533-position model. The record is from RNAcentral. Lineage: Bacteria; Pseudomonadati; Pseudomonadota; Betaproteobacteria; Burkholderiales; Burkholderiaceae.
GUGCGUGAGAGCAGCUUAACAUGCAGUCGAACGGUAACAGGGAGCUUGCUCCGCUGACGAGUGGCGAACGGGUGAGUAAUACAUCGGAACGUGCCCAGUAAUGGGGGAUAGCUCGGCGAAAGCCGGAUUAAUACCGCAUACGCCCUGAGGGGGAAAGUGGGGGACCGCAAGGCCUCACGUUAUUGGAGCGGCCGAUGGCUGAUUAGCUAGUUGGUAGGGUAAAGGCCUACCAAGGCGACGAUCAGUAGCUGGUCUGAGAGGACGAUCAGCCACACUGGGACUGAGACACGGCCCAGACUCCUACGGGAGGCAGCAGUGGGGAAUUUUGGACAAUGGGGGAAACCCUGAUCCAGCAAUGCCGCGUGUGCGAAGAAGGCCUUCGGGUUGUAAAGCACUUUUGUCAGGGAAGAAAUCCUUUGGGCUAAUACCCUAGGGGGAUGACGGUACCUGAAGAAUAAGCACCGGCUAACUACGUGCCAGCAGCCGCGGUAAUACGUAGGGUGCAAGCGUUAAUCGGAAUUACUGGGCGUAAAGCGUGCGCAGGCGGUUGUGUAAGACAGGUGUGAAAUCCCCGGGCUUAACCUGGGAAUUGCAUUUGUGACUGCACGAC